CACUGCCCCCGUCACACCCUGGGAAUAGGUUUCGCCCGAAGCGUCGGACCAAUGAUCACCCAUGACUUCUGUGUACCACUAGUGCCACAAAGGAUUUUGGUGGUCUUAUUGGCGCAUACCACGGUGGGGUCUUCGACUGGGGUGAAGUCGUAACAAGGUAGCCGUAGGGGAACCUGUGGCUG
This is a non-coding RNA of Helianthus annuus (common sunflower), 182 nucleotides long. NCBI's taxonomy places the organism in Eukaryota, Viridiplantae, Streptophyta, Magnoliopsida, Asterales, Asteraceae. The record is from Rfam.